Molecule: non-coding RNA, 152 nt
Filed under: human gut metagenome
Also listed under: 1 other name
Description: Lysine riboswitch
Rfam family: Lysine riboswitch aptamer
About the family: Riboswitches are metabolite binding domains within certain messenger RNAs that serve as precision sensors for their corresponding targets.
Source: RNAcentral
GAUAGAGGCGCGGCACUCAUCAGUAUCCAGGGCGUAAGACCCGGAGCCUGUUCAGCCAUGGAGAAAGGGUGUGCCGCCGAAGGGAUGCUGGUUUCCGGAGCGCAGCGUCACCUGGGCGUUGGGUUAAGAGCCCUUCGACUGUCACUUGAACU